This is a small nuclear RNA of Octodon degus (degu), 103 nucleotides long. Lineage: Eukaryota; Metazoa; Chordata; Mammalia; Rodentia; Octodontidae. The record is from Ensembl.
UUGCUUUGGCAGCACAUAUACUAAAAUUGGAAAGAUCUAGGGAAGAUUAGCAUAGCCCCUGAGCAAGGAUGACACGCAAAUUUAUGAAAUGUUCCAUAUUUUU